RNAcentral lists this ribosomal RNA (784 nucleotides) under Candidatus Pacearchaeota archaeon. RNAcentral describes it as "bacterial SSU rRNA". It matches the Rfam family "Archaeal small subunit ribosomal RNA", at positions 1 to 780 of the family's 1478-position model. Lineage: Archaea; Nanobdellati. The record is from RNAcentral.
AAUCCAGUUUAUCCUGCUGGCGGCUGCGGCUAUCUGGUUUGCACUUAGACAUGCAAGUUGUUCUUUUUGUUCGCAAGAAUGAAUGGAAAGCGAACUGCUCAGUAACACGUAGCUAACCUACCCUCAAGCCCGUGAUAUCCUCGGGAAACUGAGGUUAAUAACGGAUAGAUGAUAUUUUCUGGAAUGAUAUAUCGUUGAAAAUUCGCGUGAGGAUGGGGCUGCGGCUGAUUAGGUAGUUGGCGGGGUAACUGCCCACCAAGCCAAUGAUCAGUAAGGGCCUUUAGCGAGGAAGCCCUGAGAGGGAGUCUGAGACACUACUCCCAGCCCUACGGGGUGCAGCAGUCGGGAAAAUUUUGCAAUGCGCGCAAGCGUGACAGAGCAAGCCAGAGUGCGUUUCUAUAAUUGAAACGCUUUUGUGGGAUGUAGAUAGUCCUACGAAUAAGGACUGGGAGAGACUGGUGCCAGCCGCCGCGGUAAUCCCAGCAGUCCAAGUCGCAGCCACAUUUGUUGGGUCUAAAACAUCCGUAGCUUGCUGUGUAAGUCCUGUGUGAAAUCUGGCCUCUUAAGGGUCGGGCGAGCACAGGAUACUGCAUAGCUUGAGACCGGGAGACGCAGUGAGUACAUACAGGGUAGCGGUAAAAUGUGUUGAUCCUGUAUGGACUAACAAUAGCGAAGGCACGCUGCGAGAACGGAUCUGACAGUGAGGGAUGAAGGCUAGGGGCGCAAAGUGGAUUAGAUACCCAUGUAGUCCUAGCAGUAAACACUGCACACUAAACAUUGGGGC